This is a long non-coding RNA of Zea mays, 599 nucleotides long. RefSeq lists it as uncharacterized. The record is from RefSeq and is a predicted model, not a curated record. The transcript has 2 exons. NCBI's taxonomy places the organism in Eukaryota, Viridiplantae, Streptophyta, Magnoliopsida, Poales, Poaceae.
CCGAUGCCCUGCUUUCCGGCCAGCAGCCAGCAACGCGCAGCACAACACCAUGCCUGCUGUCCCAGCCACCCCGUCGAGUUCCCCUUUGCAACUUCCAUGGCGCACAGCAGCCCACCCUCCAAAACACCAAGCAGCGGCAGCAACCUCCAUGGCGCCCCUGCUUCCAUCCCAUAGCUGAGCGCCCUUGCUGUUCUCUUCAAUGCCCCUUGGCUGUUCGACGGAAUACCCGUGAGAAAUAAUGUGUUGUGCGCAGCCCCGUCCGUGAUGCCGUCGACCCUCGCUAGUGGUCGACGCCGCGCUUCGCGCUUGGCUCAUUCGACGAAACGCCAAGCCUUGUGGACAGCCCAUGUGACUAGCCUCGAUUCGUCCAGGUUGUUCACUUGGUAUUUUGUGGAUUAAUCUGUUUAAGCUUGGUCGAUGUUGUGCAUGUGUGUAUAUGUGUAAGAAAAUGUAUUGGUAUGGAUUGAAGUUCGUGGCGAAAGAAAAAGAAGUAGAAAAGAACUCGGAUGUUUUUAUAUUUCGAUAGGAAUUUAUGCGAUGUGUUGUUUGAUGUGUGCAAUUUGUAGUUUGUAUAAGUAUAUUUUGGUCGAUGUGGUGUA